GGGUAGGUGGCAGAGUGGACAAAUGCCCGGGUCUGUAAAACCCGUGCCUUAUGGCUACGGAGGUUCGAAUCCUCCCCUACCCA
RNAcentral lists this transfer RNA (83 nucleotides) under Patescibacteria group bacterium. RNAcentral describes it as "tRNA-Tyr". It matches the Rfam family "tRNA". From Rfam's summary of the family: Transfer RNA (tRNA) molecules are approximately 80 nucleotides in length. Their secondary structure includes four short double-helical elements and three loops (D, anti-codon, and T loops). The record is from RNAcentral.